GCGAACGCUGGCGGCGUGGAUAAGGCAUGCAAGUCGAGCGAUCUGCCGCAAGGCAGAUAGCGGCAAACGGGUGAGUAACGCGUAGGUAACCUACCCUGAAGAGUGGGAUAACCCAACGAAAGAUGGGCUAAUACCACAUGUGUCUCCUGGACCGCAUGGUUCGGGAGGGGAAGAUGGCCUCGACCGCAAGGUUGCUAUCACUUCAGGAGGGACCUGCGUCCCAUCAGCUAGUUGGUAGGGUCACGGCCUACCAAGGCGUAUGACGGGUAGCUAGCCUUAGAGGACGGUUAGCCACACUGGGACUGAGACACUGCCCAGACUCCUACGGGAGGCUGCAGUCGAGAAUCUUUGGCAAUGGGCGAAAGCCUGACCAUGCGACGCCGCGUGCGGGAUGAAGGCCUUCGGGUCGUAAACCGCUGUUGCGAGGGACGAAAGUUUGUGCUGUAAACAACAGCGCAAGCCUGACGGUACCUCGAUAGAAAGCCCCGGCUAACUCCGUGCCAGCAGCCGCGGUAAUACGGAGGGGGCGAGCGUUGCUCGGAUUUACUGGGUGUAAAGGGCACGUAGGCGGUCUUGUAAGCCCUGCCUUAAAGGCUCUGGCUCAACCAGAGCAGGCGGUAGGGGACUGCAGGACUUGAGGAUGGGAGAGGUAAGCGGAAUUCCCGGUGUAAGGGUGAAAUCUGUAGAUAUCGGGAGGAACACCAGUGGCGAAGGCGGCUUACUGGCCCAUUUCUGACGCUGAGGUGCGAAAGCUAGGGGAGCAAACAGGAUUAGAUACCCUGGUAGUCCUAGCCGUACACGAUGGACACUAGGUGUUGGCUCCGUUCAGGAGUCAGUGCCGCAGGUAACCCGAUAAGUGUCCCACCUGAGGGAGUACGGC
RNAcentral lists this ribosomal RNA (880 nucleotides) under uncultured bacterium. Its description in RNAcentral is "bacterial SSU rRNA". It matches the Rfam family "Bacterial small subunit ribosomal RNA", at positions 29 to 886 of the family's 1533-position model. The record is from RNAcentral.